This 247-nucleotide unclassified non-coding RNA is filed under the name uncultured fungus. RNAcentral describes it as "sequence contains ITS2". Lineage: Eukaryota; Fungi. The record is from RNAcentral.
CCACCACUCACUUCAAUUGAAGUGGACUUGAGUUUUCCCAAGUGAUCAUUCUUUUGAAGAGUGAAUCAAGUUGGGUGACUUGAAAUAUAUGUAGGCCUUGGAUGGAACACCCCAUGGUGAAAAGGCGUGAUAAAACGUUCAACAAUUUGAACAAGUAUUAAUCGCUUCAAGUAACUUUGGGAAUAAAGUGAAGUCCUUGUUAGCCAACAAAGCAGGAAAUUGAAAGUCUUAAAAACACUUUCUGUGA